AGCAGCCGCUUUCCCUUCCCACUUGCUCCCGUGUGACGUGAGUGUGAGCCGCUGUGUAACCCUCUCCGGUCGCUGCUGGUCCUCCUGCGCUGUGGAAUGAGUUUUAUGAACAGCUGGAGGCGAAGCGUGAAGAAACAUGACAGCAAAAGGGAUGCAAUGAAUCCACAAGACGUACCUGACAGCCCGGACUCCCCGAGCCGGUUGUCAGAUGUAAACAGUCCAGAGCUGGACUCCAUCAUCACAGACUUCAAGUUACAGAUACCGGACGACAAAGAUGGUCUGGAGUCAACAGAUCCAUCGAAUG
This is a long non-coding RNA of Pelmatolapia mariae (spotted tilapia), 304 nucleotides long. RefSeq lists it as uncharacterized. The record is from RefSeq and is a predicted model, not a curated record. The transcript is spliced from 4 exons. NCBI's taxonomy places the organism in Eukaryota, Metazoa, Chordata, Actinopteri, Cichliformes, Cichlidae.